Long non-coding RNA from Camelina sativa (false flax), 463 nucleotides. RefSeq lists it as uncharacterized. Lineage: Eukaryota; Viridiplantae; Streptophyta; Magnoliopsida; Brassicales; Brassicaceae. The record is from RefSeq and is a predicted model, not a curated record.
AUCCCUGCUCCAAAAACGAAACCUUCCGGGAAAUCACUCCUGCUGUAACUGUAAGCAUGGCAGCAUUUUCCAAGUCCAGACGAAGCUACAAGAAGAAGCAACACAAUCAUGUUUACGAGAGACAAAACCCCUUCCAUUUUGGGCUCUACGAGUGACGGCUCUGGUGACAAGUGCCUCGGCUGCUGAUUCUGUUUUGUCCCAGUUUUGUGGAUUUCAUCAGUUCGAAGAUCCGAUGAUUAUCAAGCUAAGAACUUGUCACUUUCUCGAAUCAAAGAAUAUGCAUAUCUUAUGCUAUGUUGAUACAUCCAAUUUGGAUAUACGAUAAAUAAGAAAUUACAUAACCAAUCAUAUAUAAAACCUAUAAAUUGCCAAAUUGGCUUACAAGCUUUCUUGGUGUUACUAGGUAAAAUCAUAAGAAGAUGAAGAAAUAAAAAAUGUAAUUGGUAAAAUUAACUUAUCCAAA